RNAcentral lists this ribosomal RNA (460 nucleotides) under uncultured bacterium. RNAcentral's name for it is "partial 16S ribosomal RNA". It matches the Rfam family "Bacterial small subunit ribosomal RNA", at positions 338 to 795 of the family's 1533-position model. The record is from RNAcentral.
CCUACGGGAGGCAGCAGUGAGGAAUAUUGGUCAAUGGGCUUACGCCUGAACCAGCCAAGUCGCGUGAGGGAAGACUGCCCUAUGGGUUGUAAACCUCUUUUGUCAGGGAGCAACGCCGGCUACGUGUAGCCGGACUGAGAGUACCUGAAGAAAAAGCAUCGGCUAACUCCGUGCCAGCAGCCGCGGUAAUACGGAGAAUGCGAGCGUUAUCCGGAUUUAUUGGGUUUAAAGGGUGCGUAGGCCGCAUGUCAAGUCAGCGUGAAAAUGCCGGGGCUCAACCCCGCCCUGCCGCGGAAACUGGCGUUCUUGAGUGGGCGGGAAGCAGGCGGAAUUCGUGGUGUAGCGGUGAAAUGCAUAGAUAUGACGAAGAACUCCGAUUGCGAAGGCAGCUUACUGGAGCGGAACUGACGCUGAGGCACGAAAGCGUGGGUAUCGAACAGGAUUAGAUACCCCUGUAGUC